Long non-coding RNA from Etheostoma spectabile (orangethroat darter), 394 nucleotides. RefSeq lists it as uncharacterized. Lineage: Eukaryota; Metazoa; Chordata; Actinopteri; Perciformes; Percidae. The transcript has 3 exons. The record is from RefSeq and is a predicted model, not a curated record.
GAAAUAAUAUUGAGUAUAUAACUGUAGCUUUCUUAUUUGUUACUAAUUUAAGAGACUCAAAAUAUAUGUACAUUUCAAUUUGGAAUAGUUUAAAACAUGGUCUUGAUUUGGAAAAUUUUGAUUUAUGAAUAUGACACUUACCUAAUAAAAUAAAAAGAUUAACAAUAUUACAUAAAUGUAUAUCUUUAUUCAAAAUAUGUAAUAAUAAGUUCCCCUUCAAGUGUGAUUGUAUGUGUUGUUUUAGAUACCAUAUAAAUUCCAAAACUUUUCCAGAAUGUAAUACAAAAUAAACAACCAUAAAAGAGAUGAGUUAACGAUUCUUGUUCUGUCAUACAAAAACUACAAUAAUUGUCAACUGGCAUGACUUUUGAGAUAAACAGGUUUGUAGGAUAUG